UCCAUCGCGAGGUGGGGUCUGGAGGAAGCCUAAAGCAAAACUCUGAUCUGAGGGAAACGAACCGCAUAUAAGGCUGCGAUAUCUGGGUAAGCUCACGUGACAGAGCGAAGCCCGUAACCAUCAAAAGGUAGCGUAGUAAAUGCGGCAGAUGUGGAGUGGAGGCCGCUGUU
Molecule: non-coding RNA, 170 nt
Filed under: uncultured Desulfatiglans sp.
Lineage: Bacteria; Pseudomonadati; Thermodesulfobacteriota; Desulfobacteria; Desulfatiglandales; Desulfatiglandaceae
Source: RNAcentral